This 497-nucleotide ribosomal RNA is filed under the name uncultured bacterium. RNAcentral's name for it is "partial 16S ribosomal RNA". It matches the Rfam family "Bacterial small subunit ribosomal RNA", at positions 28 to 507 of the family's 1533-position model. The record is from RNAcentral.
GACGAACGCUGGCGGCGUGCCUAAUACAUGCAAGUCGAGCGAUCAAGUUUGGUGCUUGCACCACUUUGAAGAGCAGCGAACGGGUGAGUAACGCGUGGGGAAUCUGCCUUUGAGCGGGGGACAACAUUUGGAAACGAAUGCUAAUACCGCAUAACAACUUUAAACAUAAGUUUUAAGUUUGAAAGAUGCAAUUGCAUCACUCAAUGAUGAUCCCGCGUUGUCUUAGCCUGUUGGUGAGGUAAAGGCUCACCAAGGCGAACAUACCUAGCCGGCCUGAAGAGGUGAUCGGCCAAAAUGGGACUGGGACAACGCCCAAAACCCCACGGGAGGCAGCAGUAAGGGAACUUCGCGCAUGGACGGAAGUCUGAACGAGGAACGGCGCGUGGGGGAAGGAGGUUUUCGGGUCGGAAAACUCUGUUGAUUGGGAAGAAAGUUAGUGGGAAGGGAAAACGCAUGAAGUGACGGUACCUAACCAGAAAGGGACGGCUAACUACGUG